Molecule: ribosomal RNA, 253 nt
Filed under: uncultured bacterium
Lineage: Bacteria
Description: partial 16S ribosomal RNA
Rfam family: Bacterial small subunit ribosomal RNA
Source: RNAcentral
UACAGAGGGUGCGAGCGUUAAUCGGAGUUACUGGGCGUAAAGGGCGCGUAGGCGGUUUAAUGAGUGUGAUGUGAAAGCCCCGGGCUUAACCUGGGAAGUGCAUCGCAAACGAUUGAACUAGAGUAUAUGAGAGGGUGGCGGAAUUUCCGGUGUAGCGGUGAAAUGCGUAGAGAUCGGAAGGAACGUCGAUGGCGAAGGCAGCCACCUGGCAUAAUACUGACGCUGAGGCGCGAGAGCGUGGGGAGCGAACGGG